UGUUAUGGCGGCUGUGCGUGGGACACCUUCGGGUGUGCCGGUGUCCUAUGCCCGGUCGGCCAACCCGCGUACAGCCGCCACCCUA
This is a non-coding RNA of Pseudomonas chlororaphis subsp. aureofaciens 30-84, 85 nucleotides long. The record is from Rfam. NCBI's taxonomy places the organism in Bacteria, Pseudomonadati, Pseudomonadota, Gammaproteobacteria, Pseudomonadales, Pseudomonadaceae.